AUGCAAGUCGAGCGAAGCUUUUCAGUAGUUUACUACAGAAAAUGACUGAGCGGCGAACGGGUGAGUAACGCGUGAGCAAUCUACCUUAGUUACAGGGAUAGCCCGAGGAAACUCGGAUUAAUACCUGAUAUUCUUUACAUUUCGCAUGAAAUUAAAAGGAAAGGUCAGCCGAACUAAGAUGAGCUCGCGUUCUAUCAGCUAGUUGGUGAGGUAAAAGCUCACCAAGGCUACGACGGAUAGCUGGUCUGAGAGGACGAUCAGCCACACUGGGACUGAGACACGGCCCAGACUCCUACGGGAGGCUGCAGCAGGGAAUAUUGUGCAAUGAACGAAAGUUUGACACAGCGACACCGCGUGUGGGAUGACGGAUCUAGGUUUGUAAACCACUUUCAGGAGGGAAGAAAAUGACGGUACCUCCACAAGAAGCCCCGGCCAACUACGUGCCAGCAGCCGCGGUAAUACGUAGGGGGCGAGCGUUGUCCGGAUUUAUUGGGCGUAAAGAGCUCGUAGGCGGUUCAACAAGUCGGUCGUAAAAGUUCAGGGCUCAACCCUGAAAUGUCGAUCGAUACUGUUGUGACUAGGAUACGGUGAAGGUGAGUGGAAUUCCGAGUGUAGCGGUGAAUGCGUAGAUAUUCGGAGGAACACCAAUUGCAAGGCAGCUCACUGGGCCGCUAUCGACGCUGAGAACGAAGCUAGGGAGCAACCGGAUUAGAUACCCUGGUAGUCUAGCUGUAACGAUGGAUACUAGCGUAGGAACUGGAUGACGGUUCUGGUCGUACUAACGCGUUAGUAUCCGCCUGGGGAUACGUCGCAGACUAACUCAAGGAAUUGACGGACCCGCACAAGCGCGGACCAUGCGCUAAUCGAUGAUCCGUAAACCUUACUGGACUUGACAUUACGUCAGCUAUAAGAUUAGUGGCAUACGCCUUAACA
Molecule: ribosomal RNA, 933 nt
Filed under: uncultured bacterium
Lineage: Bacteria
Description: bacterial SSU rRNA
Rfam family: Bacterial small subunit ribosomal RNA
Source: RNAcentral